CCAAGGGCUCUCCUCAGCUGGUUUGAGCUUUGGGUUCGCUGAAAUAAGGAAAUCUUUCCCCAAAGCUACAAUAUGAAGGAUAUGGAAAAUAGGCCCCAAGGAACUUCCCUUACAGUUCCCCCACCUGCCCCGCCCCACCCUAAAUGAGCCCAACAUCAAAACUCCUCUCCUGACCUGGCCCUGCCCAUCAAAAGGGACCAUCAAAAGUAACUAACUCUUCCCGUGACCCCACUCUGCUAAGGUCCCAUAAAACCCAGACCCUUUUGGUGACCUGCUGCCAUUUUCCCACCCAAAGAUGUGCCCCUCUGGUGCUGAAUAAAGCAUCUCUGGUCCAUGA
Marmota flaviventris (yellow-bellied marmot) is the source of this 337-nucleotide long non-coding RNA. RefSeq lists it as uncharacterized. Lineage: Eukaryota; Metazoa; Chordata; Mammalia; Rodentia; Sciuridae. The record is from RefSeq and is a predicted model, not a curated record.